This 231-nucleotide ribosomal RNA is filed under the name uncultured bacterium. Its description in RNAcentral is "partial 16S ribosomal RNA". It matches the Rfam family "Bacterial small subunit ribosomal RNA", at positions 57 to 305 of the family's 1533-position model. The record is from RNAcentral.
GCAAGUCGAGCGCUUCACUUCGGUGAAGAGCGGCGAACGGGUGAGUAACACGUAGGUUACCUGCCCCUAGGUGAGGGACAACCGUGGGAAACUACGGCUAAUACCACAUAUGGUCUACGGAUCAAAGGCUUCGGCCGCCUGGGGAUGGGCCUGCGUCCCAUUAUUUAAUCCUAGUUGGUGGGGUAACGGCCUACCAAGGGUACGAUGGGUAGCUGGUCUGAGAGGAUGAUC